UACGAAGGGGGCUAGCGUUGUUCGGAUUUACUGGGCGUAAAGCGCACGUAGGCGGAUCGAUCAGUCAGGGGUGAAAUCCCAGAGCUCAACUCUGGAACUGCCUUUGAUACUGUCGAUCUGGAGUAUGGAAGAGGUGAGUGGAAUUCCGAGUGUAGAGGUGAAAUUCGUAGAUAUUAGGAAGAACACCAGUGGCGAAGGCGGCUCACUGGUCCGGUACUGACGCUGAGGUGCGAAAGCGUGGGGAGCAAACAGG
Molecule: ribosomal RNA, 253 nt
Filed under: uncultured bacterium
Lineage: Bacteria
Description: partial 16S ribosomal RNA
Rfam family: Bacterial small subunit ribosomal RNA
Source: RNAcentral